RNAcentral lists this ribosomal RNA (416 nucleotides) under uncultured bacterium. Its description in RNAcentral is "bacterial SSU rRNA". It matches the Rfam family "Bacterial small subunit ribosomal RNA", at positions 355 to 787 of the family's 1533-position model. The record is from RNAcentral.
UGGGGAAUAUUGCACAAUGGGGGAAACCCUGAUGCAGCGACGCCGCGUGGAGGAAGAAGGCCCUCGGGUUGUAAACUCCUGUCUUUGGGGACGAUAAUGACGGUACCCAAGGAGGAAGCCACGGCUAACUACGUGCCAGCAGCCGCGGUAAAACGUAGGUGGCAAGCGUUGUCCGGAAUUACUGGGUGUAAAGGGAGCGCAGGCGGAGCGGCAAGUUGGAGGUGAAACCCAUGGGCUCAACCCAUGAACUGCCUUCAAAAUCUGUCGGUCUUGAGUGGUGUAGAGGUAAGCGGAAUUCCCGGUGUAGCGGUGGAAUGCGUAGAUAUCGGGAGGAACACCAGUGGCGAAGGCGGCUUACUGGGCACUAACUGACGCUGAGGCUCGAAAGCAUGGGUAGCAAACAGGAUUAGAUACCC